Odocoileus virginianus texanus is the source of this 4147-nucleotide long non-coding RNA. RefSeq lists it as uncharacterized. The record is from RefSeq and is a predicted model, not a curated record. NCBI's taxonomy places the organism in Eukaryota, Metazoa, Chordata, Mammalia, Artiodactyla, Cervidae.
UUGUUUCCAAGGACAGCAGCCUAUUAUGAUGUCACGGGUGGGACAGUAAUCACCACCCCCACCCUAGAGUCUAACGCAGACAAUGAAAGAGGCUGCGGUAGGCCCGGCAGAGGAGGGGAACCCAGGGACGGAGGAGAGGGCAUCUCACCCAGACUGGGUACCAAGCUGGGGCCUCCCUUCUCCGUGGGCCCUGCCCUGCUGACCACAUGGUCACUCGGGAAGGGAAAUGGCCUUGAGUGGCCGUGACGGUGUCUGGGCUUGACCUCGGCUCUGGCUUAAGAGUGUAAUCGCCUCUGUCCACCCACCCCCUGGGAUUCGGGACACAGCACCAGGCCUCAGGUGUGGAAGCCCCGACAGACCAGGCCAGUCCCCUAGGCUCGGCGUCCACCUCCUGCGGCCUGAGGUGCAGUCAGGACAGCAGGUCAUUGGUGAAGACUUUGAAUGAAACCUGUCCUAGAGACUCAUCACAGCACAGCGUCGGGGGCGUCUCCUUCCUUCCACAGACGCCAGAGAGAUUUGAUGAAAUAAAACAUGUUCUUAUGAUAUUUAAAAAGCCUCGCAGCAAACUUGAAAGAGAAAGGAACCUUCUCCACCUGACCAAGGACAGCAGACACCCCGCACACUUCAUGGAGCCGUCAGGGGCGGCGUGGGGUCGAGGCAGGAGCCUUUGGCCAUAGUUUUCUGUCUUACAGGAUGCCAUGUGGUUGGAAUCACAGUCUAUAGCCUUCUUAGUAAAAUGAGGCUGUGUGACCAGUUGGUCAGCAUGAAUCUGGCCAGCCACACCCAAGGUCUGCUCACUCACCUGAGGACCACAACCCCUGGGAUGGAAGUCCGAAGGCAAGUUCCCUCUUGGUGGCCUCCCCCACCCCACCCUGUUUUGUUUGCAUGUUUAGGCAGAAACUUUUUGCCUUUUUCUCUCUGCUCUCUGAGGUCCUCCGGCCCCAAGGCCACUGACUGAGGGUCCCUGAGUGGGUGGAGUCUACCUCACCUGUCCGGGAUUAGGGAGAAGUGUCUGCUGAUGCUCCCUCCUGGGGUGGCACAAAGGAUCCACAAAGUAUCUUCUUUCCAGAAUGGUCAUCUAAUCCCACCCAAAAGUUGAUCACAGGCCCAGAGACCCAUCCCUCCUGGGUGAGAUUGGAGGGAGUGGGCAUUCCAGCUCCUGGGUCCCUGGGAAGUCAGUCCUGUCCCAGUAGUGUUGGUGCCCCCCCCCUCUUUUUUAUGCACAUUUAAAAGGCAAACAUCAACUCCUCCCCCAGACUCCCACGAUGGGCUCCUUCUUCUGUUACAUUUUCAAUUACACUCUCACAGCAUUCUCAUUAGAGACGCGAGCUUGUCUUCAUUAAAGACAAAACUAACUUUCCACCACGGAGAGGCCUGGGUGAAGAGGGUAAUGAUUGAAUUUCUUCAUUUCAGAGAAUUGCAUCUCUUAUCCUGGGGCGAUGUCUGUAAAUGCAGACAGAGUACUGAGAGAGACUCCAUUUCCGUGACUUUGUGGAGUGACGGAGCUGCCUCCUGGGGUCUGGCAUCCUGUCUGUGGACGUGGAGGCUUGAGGGAACCACUGACCUGUUAACCCCAUGGCCUCGCACAGCCCCCUACCCUCCCUCAGCUCCCCCAGCUUUUGAACAAAAAGUCCAGGCUCCACCCAGUAAGGACAGGGUGCCCGUGGGGCUCAGCUCACCUGCUCUUCCUGCAGGAACCACCCGGCUGCUGCCGUCCAGGUCUCGGGGCCCUUUGUAAAGCGCAGCUCAGAGAUGCCCUGUCCUCCAUCACCUAAGCCUGGUGGUCCAGGGGCUCGCCCCGAGUUGCCUCCCCAUGAGGCCCCUGAAGCUCUGCUGAGGCCCCUCAGCCUCCAGCCAGCAGCUCUCUUUUCUCUCGGUUUGCGUUGUGUAAUUUCAGCAGCAAUGAAACAAAUGCAGUCAGGCAUCUCCGGACUGUCUGAGCACCCACCCCAGCCCCACCCCUCGGUGCUGUGUGGGCCUCCCCUUCCAGGAGGGCCUCCUGGAUCUCCCAACCCAGACCCAAGCAGGGUCUUGCCUCCCCUCCCCACCCCAGCCCAGUCUCUGCCUUUGGUUGUGUGACCCAGACUCCUAGCAAGCAGCCUGGACCCCACAGCACUCUGCAGGCAGGGAUGGGGCUGGUCUGGCUCUGAGCUGAAAGAUGAGGACGUGAGAAUAUGGAGAUGAGUGUUGUGAAAAAACGGGGAUUCACAAGUAUGGAGCUGAGGACUUGUGAAUCUGCAGAUGGGCAUCCGUGGACAUGGAAAUAGGGUCGUGAAUAUGGAAAUGAGACUCUUGAAAAUGGAAAUGUGGUAAUGAAUAUGGUAAUCUAUAUGAUUAUGGAGGUGAGACAUGAGUAUAGAGAUGAGGGCUUGUGAGUAUGGAGAUGAGAUCGUGAAUACGGAGAUGAGGACACAUAACCGUGGAGAAGAAGGCUUGUGAAUUUGGAGAUGAGGACACAUGAAUAUGCAGGUGGUGCUAUGGUAAUAUGGACUUGAGGACUUGUGAAUACUAUGGAGAUGAGGCCUGUGUGUUGGCACCCACCACCCCAGGUCACUGGUGCAUGGGGUCAUCCACCCAGACCCCACUCUGGGGGAAGAAAUUUCACCUCUUGGGAAUGAGGCUGGCCCUGCUUGGCGUGGGGGGUGGUGGAAGUAGGGGGCAGUGCCACCUGCUGGCCACAGUCCUUCCAGGAAAUGACCCCCACAUCCCCCUCUUAGCAGUUGGCACACACUGUACCCCAAGAGCAAGAUGCCCUUCUCUCGAGGUUCUUCCUUCUGGGGCUCCCGGCCUUAGUGCAGGGGGUGGGGGAACUGGGGAUUCUGCCCUGUAUGUCUGGCAGAAGGACGGUGCCGUGUGGGACCAGGGCCCUGAUGGCCAUCCUUCCUCCCGGGACUGUCCUGUCCUCAAGGCCUGCGAGGGGACCGGUGGUGCCCCUGAGAGUGGAUGGUGCUGGAGCAUGUGGCCAGCAGUGGGCAUUGCUGGUCAGAGUCCUGAGCUGGGGAGAGGAGGUUUGCACACCCAGAGCAGGCAUGCUUCUUUACUUAGGUAAAUGGCCACGUAGAUGUGGGGGCCGGGAGCUGGGCACAUGGAGCUUCUGAUCUGGGCCAUCUGGUCCUUGGGGGCUCCUGCCACAUGUCAGGAGGGGAUAAUAAGCACACCCCCAGAGUGCUGGGAAUACCCUAAACCCAGGAGACACAGCAGGCAAGAACAGAACUGUAGGACGGGGACAGAGGGGUGCUGGAGAGGACCCCUGUGUUGGGGUGGGCCCGCCUGCAGCUGAGUUCCUGUCCUUCCUAUCCCUGAAGAUGAGGCCCAGCAGCCAGGAGUGGGUGGCUAGGGCUGCAGACAGGAUCCCCAACCCACCCAGGCAGGAGGCAUAUGGUUGGGGGGGCCUCAAGGAGUGUCUGAGGUCUGUCCAGCUGUCUGUCCACACACGGGAUGUCCUGGCUGUGUCCAUCCAACGCAUCUCAUCCCGAUCUUGUGCCAGGCUUGUGGGUUCCAGGAGUCAUUUCUGAGCCUGUGAGGCUCCACCUCCUUUAAAGCCGAGAGAUGCCAUGUCUGCUGUGAAUGAAGUUGCAGCUGAGUCUAGAGCCUCUGGUCAGAUGGGAAUUUCAGAGAACAGCAGGAUGGGGGUGUGAGGACGUCCCUGCAGUACUGGGGUUGAAUCGUGUUCCACUUCGCGGAAGGACCACAUUUCGCUUAUCCUUCAUCCAUUGGUGGACAUCUGUGUUCUGUCCGUCUCCGUUUUGGGCUCCUCUGGGACCGAGAACCAUCAGAGGACGGAGAAGCAUCAGAUGACAGAGAACCACCGGGCCUGGCAGCGAGGACAUGGGUGCUCUGGAAUAUCCCACACAGACUGCCUGCAGAGCUUUGCGUGUCCACACUGGAAGGACAUCCUGACAACCUCGAGCGGACUGUUGGGAUUGCCACCCACUUUCCCACAGGUUUUCCAAGGAAGCACCCAUUCCUGCGGGUGCGUCCAGCACCUCUGUUCACAAAUGGUCCUGAGAACCUGUUCGGCCGCGUGGCUCCGGAGUGUAACGUAUCAGGAGCCUUUCUCAGGAACUGUGUCCUCCUAAAUUCUCUCUCCUGUGCCAGGUUUAAAUUACCUUUAAUUCUUUUUCCGUAAAAGACAAAGCUAUUUUUA